CAGUCGCCGCGGUAAUACAGAGGAUGCAAGCGUUAUCCGGAAUGAUUGGGCGUAAAGUGUCUGUAGGUGGCUUUUCAAGUCCGCCGUCAAAUCCCAGGGCUCAACCCUGGACAAGUGGUGGAAACUACCAAGCUGGAGUAUGGUAGGGGCAGAGGGAAUUUCCGGUGGAGCGGUGAAAUGCAUUGAGAUCGGAAAGAACACCAACGGCGAAAGCACUCUACUGGGCCGACAUUGACACUGAGAGACGAAAGGUAGGGGAGCAAAUGGGAUUAGAUACCCCGGUAGUCCCUGUCUCUUAUAA
This 301-nucleotide ribosomal RNA is filed under the name uncultured bacterium. RNAcentral describes it as "partial 16S ribosomal RNA". It matches the Rfam family "Bacterial small subunit ribosomal RNA", at positions 509 to 808 of the family's 1533-position model. The record is from RNAcentral.